This 253-nucleotide ribosomal RNA is filed under the name uncultured bacterium. Its description in RNAcentral is "partial 16S ribosomal RNA". It matches the Rfam family "Bacterial small subunit ribosomal RNA", at positions 524 to 776 of the family's 1533-position model. The record is from RNAcentral.
UACGUAGGGGGCUAGCGUUGUCCGGAAUCAUUGGGCGUAAAGAGCGUGUAGGCGGCCCGGUAAGUCCGCUGUGAAAGUCGGGGGCUCAACCCUUGGAUGCCGGUGGAUACUGCAGGGCUAGAGUCCGGAAGAGGCGAGUGGAAUUCCUGGUGUAGCGGUGAAAUGCGCAGAUAUCAGGAGGAACACCGAUGGCGAAGGCAGCUCGCUGGGACGGUACUGACGCUGAGGCGCGAAAGCGUGGGGAGCAAACAGG